AUAAAAAAUUAACCGUACCAAACCGGUGCCGGUGGGUGGGUUUAGAUUACUAAGGCGAUCGAGGCAACGGCGCUUAAGGAACUCGGCAAAUUGACUCUGUAACUUUGGGAGGAGGAGUGCCUGCGGAAACGCAGGGCGUAAUAUACAAGGGGGGAGCGACUGUUUAUUAAAAACACAGGACUCUGCUAAAUGGUAACAUGAAGUAUAGGGUCUGACGCCUGCCCGGUGCCAUUGAGCAAAAGCAAAGCGUCAAUGCGCUUAGUAUAAGCUUCGGUAAACGGCGGCUGUAACUCUGACGGUCCUAAGGUAGCGAAAUUCCUUGGCGGGUAAGUUCCGUCCUGCAUGAAUGGCGUAACGACUCCCCCGCUGUCUCAAGCGCCGGCUCGGUGAAAUUGAAUUCUUCGUGAAGAUGCGAAGAUGUCGUGGCUAGACGGAAAGACCCUGUGCACCUUUACUAUAACCUUUUGUUGCCCUAGACUUGUGUGUGCUCAGAAUAAGCGGGAGUUUGUAAAUUAAUGCAGGCGUCAGUGAGAUACCGCUCAGUUACAUGUCUAGGGUUUUCUAGCAAGGUUGGUAGUUUGGCUGGGGUGGCCGCCUCCUAAAGAGUAACGGGGGUGCGCAAUGGUGGGCUCAACCCGAUUCUCGGGGUAAGAGCGUAACGGUAAAAGCCCGCCUGACUGAAAGAUUGACAAAUCGAUCAGGGACAAUAGUCGGUCGUAGUGACCCGACGGUGUUGUGCGGAAAAGCCGUCGAUCAACGGAUAAAAGGUACGCCAGGGAUAACAGGCUAAUAACCCCUAAGAGACCACAUCGCCGGGGUUGUUUGGCACCUCGAUGUCGGCUCAUCACAUCCUGGAGCUGUAGGCGGUUCCAAGGGUUCGGCUGUUCGCCGAUUAAAGUGGUACGUGAGCUGGGUUUAGAACGUUGUGAAACAGUUCGGUCCCUAUCUACCACGACAAGAGCUGAGGGUGGCCAUCCUAGUACGGGAGGAUCGGAUGGCACCGGCCAAUGGUGACCAGUUGUGUUCGUUGCUUUGGGCGCAUUGCUGGGUAGCUACGCCGGGUGGUAUAAUUGCUGAAAGCAUAUAAAGCAAGAAGACCGCCCCAAAAAGCUUUGCAA
Molecule: ribosomal RNA, 1118 nt
Filed under: Chlorarachnion reptans
Lineage: Eukaryota; Cercozoa; Chlorarachniophyceae
Description: partial Bacterial large subunit ribosomal RNA
Rfam family: Bacterial large subunit ribosomal RNA
Source: RNAcentral